Molecule: ribosomal RNA, 320 nt
Filed under: uncultured soil bacterium
Lineage: Bacteria
Description: bacterial SSU rRNA
Rfam family: Bacterial small subunit ribosomal RNA
Source: RNAcentral
AGAUUGAACGCUGGCGGCAUGCCUUACACAUGCAAGUCGAACGGCAGCACGGGAGCAAUCCUGGUGGCGAGUGGCGAACGGGUGAGUAAUACAUCGGAACGUGCCCAAUCGUGGGGGAUAACGCAGCGAAAGCUGUGCUAAUACCGCAUAAGAUCUACGGAUGAAAGCAGGGGAUCGCAAGACCUUGCGCGAAUGGAGCGGCCGAUGGCAGAUUAGGUAGUUGGUGAGGUAAAGGCUCACCAAGCCUUCGAUCUGUAGCUGGUCUGAGAGGACGACCAGCCACACGUGGGACUGAGACACGGCCCAGACUCCGUACGGGA